AGCUCCAAUAGCGUAUAUUAAAGUUGUUGCAGUUAAAAAGCUCGUAGUUGGAUUUGUGGCUGUCGCCGUCCGUUCUUCACAAUGUGUUGAAUUGGUUGGCGUCGCCAUCCUUGGGUGGAUCCUGUGUGGCAUUAGGUUGUCGUGCAGGGGAUGCCCAUCUUUUACUGUGAAAAAAUUAGAGUGUUCAAAGCAGGCUUAUGCCGUUGAAUAUAUUAGCAUGGAAUAAUGAGAUAGGACCUUGGUACUAUUUUGUUGGUUUGCGCACCAAGGUAAUGAUUAAUAGGGACAGUUGGGGGUAUUCGUAUUCCAUUGUCAGAGGUGAAAUUCUUGGAUUUCUGGAAGACGAACUACUGCGAAAGCAUUUACCAAGGAUGUUUUCAUUAAUCAAGAACGAAAGUAC
This 400-nucleotide ribosomal RNA is filed under the name phytoplankton environmental sample. RNAcentral's name for it is "partial small subunit ribosomal RNA". It matches the Rfam family "Eukaryotic small subunit ribosomal RNA", at positions 587 to 992 of the family's 1831-position model. The record is from RNAcentral.